This 158-nucleotide unclassified non-coding RNA is filed under the name uncultured fungus. RNAcentral's name for it is "sequence contains ITS1, 5.8S rRNA gene". Lineage: Eukaryota; Fungi. The record is from RNAcentral.
CAAAAACGAGUUGCGAGACUCGGAAACCAUCGCGAACAUUACCUCGUCGUCGUUGCUUCGGCGGGCGGCCCCGUUACGCGGGGCGCGCCCGCCGGAGGUACGCAACACUCUUGUUUUUUCUUAGCGCCUCUCUGAGUGGAUACAGCGAAAUUAAGUCA